UUCUUCAAAGGCUGGCGCUUGGGGGCUGAGUGAACUGAGCUGAACUGGCGUGAGCUGGAGCUUGUGUUUGUUGCGGAAGUCUUCACCAGGAGUCUGAGCAACCUGGCUCUGAUACCAUAUGAGGUUUUCAGAGUACCAGUACUUGAGUGAUGUAAGAACAGAUGAGAGAUUGAUGUAUGAUGAAGUAUGAAGAAUAGAAAUGAGUUUAAGAGAAUCAAAGAGAGUAUGGGAGAGACUGAGAGACUAGGAACGUGUAUGGGAGAUUAGAGAGAGACUUAGUAACAAGAUUAAGAACCAAGAACAAGUUUUAUGAAGAAGAGAGACUCUCUCAGCUUACAUCAUCAAAUCGCAUACAAGAGGCUUUUAUAUGCCUUUACAUGUCACAAAGACUUAACCUAAAUCCUAAGGACAAGAAUACAAGAUAGAUUGAAUGGCUAGGAUGAGAGAAGAGUGGUCUUUGAUGUUCUGGUGAUAGCUGGCGACUUUAGACUGAAUGGAGAGCUCAGAUUGCUUCAUUUGAAUGAAGGGAGGAGAUUGGUCUUGCUGUAAAGGUAAAGCACCUUUACCUUUCCAGCUUUGCACAUACAGCUCACCCUGAUCCCUUUGGUAUAUUCCCUUUCCCUCUCACACUUCAACGGUCACUAUAGGAAAGGAUAGAAUCAGAGUGAACCGCCCUCACAUUGCACAUCUUGAUUUGGGCUGAACCGGAUGACUUGGGCGUGUGGAGUGGCCGUACGGUUGAUGGUACGGACCUCCUGUCCGUACCACUAUCCCUAACUAUGCAAAUUGCCUUAUCUCCUUCUUGACUGAUCCCAAACACCUUCAUGAUCCACCCUAGACCGUACAAGGCCGUACUGAACGCCCUAUCUUUGCACCACACUUCCAUCUUCUCUCUAACUCCUUCACAGCCUUCACAUGAUCAGUCUAAGUCUUUCCUAGACUUAACUUCACAAGAUAACUACUUCAGAACACCUCUGAAGCUUCAUUGAACUCUUCUGGACAUCUUCUAGAGCUUGCCCUAUUGUUGUACAAGCUCUAUCUUCUCUUCAGUUCAACACUCCCCCUCAAGCUUGACUUUAGGAGAUCCUAAGCCAAGCUUGGAACUCUGAAGAGUCUCCCUCAUUAAAAACCUUACAAGGAAAACCCAUUGGGACAAAACCUUGCAAGGGAAAAAGAGUAGAGCUCUCCAAAGCCUAGGGAUUGGCCAGUGAACUCUUGUGCCUUAGAACCAGUGUGGUUGGACACAAGAAGUUCUGGAUCACGGCCUAAACUGGUGCAGCAACUCCACAAGACUUUGCGCACUCAACAACUCAGCUUCACUUCUUCAUGGAACUGGUUUGAGGUCUCCCCCUCUCAACUGACUUCACAGCCUUCUUAGAGAAGCUAGGACACGACCAGAUCAUCUUCACAACACUAGUGAGGCUGAUCAACACUUCACACACGGCUUGCCCUCUUCAUAGAACUGGUUUGGAUCUCCCCCUCUCAACCGACUUCACAGCCUUCUUAGAGAAGCUAGGAAAUGACCAGGUUCUUAUUUGAUGAGGCUCAAGGACUUGUACCUGAUACAUUAUCCCAAAGGUGCAUCAGUACUUAUCAAGAAACAUCACACAAUCUAUUCAAUCAUUUUAAGUAUCAUUUCUAGACUUUAGAAUUGAAAUGAUGAAUGUAUUGAAUUGAAUUGAGCUUAGGACACUUCCCUUUUGUUUAGAUGAGUUCCCACUCGGCCAUUGCACCAUCUCCAUGGCAUCACCAGCUUCUUGGAAAGGCAGAAUGGAUUCAUCAGUUUCUCAUCAAUCACUUCACCAUAGAAGCCGCUUUGAUCAGUUCACCUUCACCCUUAGACUGCCUAGAAUAACUCCGGCUGAUGAUCCUUUGUAGGAGCCUUUGCAAAGACUUGUUACUGACCAUGGAUCAUAUGCAUUAAGACUCCCCCUCAAGCUUAGAACCGAGACUAGAAGGAGCUAAGCUUGUGAUGAUCAUAUGCAUCCCCAUGGUCUUAUAACUAUCAGUCUUUCAUGAUAGCUUUCUUCUUGUGAGUUAACUCUCUUCCUUAUCUAGGAACUAGGGUGUUUGAAUCACCAUAGAGAGACCCACAAGACACACUUCUCAUUGCAUAAUGACCCAUGCUACACUUCCUGUAGUCUUUGGACUGGAUAUGUCCAAUGGUAUUAUGCAAUGGCCAUCUCUCAUUGCAUAAUCAAUCACACUACACUUCCUGUAGAUUAUGGACUAACAUGUCCUAGUGAUGAUAUGCAAUGGCAUAAGACCUUUGUCUCUACAUUCUUGGCUGUUGGCGAGUUAAAUGUAUCACUUUCCUUGUGUACCUAACACCACCACAACUCAAUGCAAGAUCAGAUCAUCCCAUUGGGAUCAAACCAAGAUAAUUCAUCCUGUUUGAUCACCAAUGCCACAGCAAUAUAUAAACCUUGAAACAAGCCAAUCAAUCAAGGCAAGAACAAGCAGAUUUCAAUCUCUAAAAUGACAAUGCAAGCUUUACCAAUACAUUGACAAUUUAGGCUAGUUUUUAAAUGCAUCAAUUCAUGAAUGCACAAUUCUAAAGCAUUAACUAUAUGAAUGCAACAGGUUCAAUCCAUGAGACAUAUUAAAGCUAUGCACAACAGUUUCAAUCAAAACCAAUGAUGCAAGCAACUUAGACAACUUCUAAUUGAUGCUAGACUUUCAUUGAUGGAUUAAACAAAGGCAUUAGCAUCAGUACACACUCGGAUUGAACUUAGACAAUAUGAGACAUGCUUAUGUAUGCAAAACAGCUUUUCAAACAUGAUGCAAGCAGUAGAGACAUUCUACUCAAUUCUACAACACAUUCAUGAUGAUUCAAGCUAUGGCAACACACAAGACAAUGCAAUAACAAGACAUGAGAUUCUGGGACUCUAGACACCACUCACAGCACAAUAAAUAAAGACACAAGCUCUUAUUAAGGGUUAGGAGGUUUGCUUACAAACAAGAGAUCCGAGCUGAUCUCUUGAACCUCCAUGGGCACGGUUCACUUGAACUUGGCAGGUUUGAGGCUUGGAUUCAGUAUCCAACACCUCUCCUUGGUGUGCCCAUCCCUCUUGCAAUGCUCACACUUCAGGCCUCUUCUAUCCCCCUUCUUGUACACCGGCUUCAUGGACUGAGAGCUUCCUUCAGCGUGUGAAGCAAAGGUAAGUGGUUCCUUUGCUCCAAACAAUCCGUGUGAGCCCUCCUCCUUUUGGACUUGAGCACACACUUCUUCAAGGGUAGGUAGCUUCUCAGACCUCAGUAGAUGUUUGGUGAGGUCGCUGAAGGCGGGAAUGAGAGUUAGGAGCAGCCCAAACACUUUAUCUUGCUCCCUUCUUUCAUUCAACACGUCCGGCUCAACUGAUUGAGGUCUAAGCAUCUCUAGCUCAGACCAAAGGGCUCUGAACCUUCCUAGAUGAGUAGUGAACUCCUCUUCUUCUUGGGACAUGUUGUUGAUGGCCUUCUUGAUCUCAAAGACUCGGCUGAGGUUGGACAGGUUCCCAUAGAUCUUCUUAAGUGUACUCCAAAGCUCUUUAGCACUCUCACAGUAGGAGUAGGCUUCAAGAAUGGAUGGAUCCAAGGAGCUGUGGAGUAUGGAGAGGACAGUAAGGUCUUCUUGUAGCCAUCUGUCUUCAGAGACCGGUUUGGAACUUGCUUCACCUUCAGCUUGUGUGGCGACACCUUUGGAGUGGUUUGAAGCAUCUGAGAUGCAAUGGCUCCAUAAACCCUUUCCUCCUAUGGCUGUCUUGGCUAGGCGUGACCAGAGAAGGUAGUUGGGGCCUUUGAGAGUGACUGGGAUGACAAUGGCUCUUUUGGACUCCAUCUUGAGGCUGGAAAGAGCAAAACUGUCAAGGAACUUCUUCAAAGGCUGGCGCUUGGGGGCUGAGUGAACUGAGCUGAACUGGCGUGAGCUGGAGCUUGUGUUUGUUGCGGAAGUCUUCACCAGGAGUCUGAGCAACCUGGCUAAGGAACGUGUAUGGGAUAUUAGAGAGACUUAGUAACCAGAGAAUAAGAUCCAAGAACAAGUUUAUGAAGAAGAGAGACUCUCUCAGCUUAAAAGUUACAAAAUGAUCCUAAGAGGCUUAUUUAUGCCUUUACACAACUCAGAUCAUAAACCUAGAUCCUAAGGCUGUAAAUUAAAGAUAAAUGGAUGGUUAGGAUGAGAGGAAGCUGGUCUUUGAUGUUCUGGUGCUAGCUGGUCGUGGUUGGACUGAAUGGAGGGCUCAGAUUGCUUCAUUUGAAUUGGAUGGAUCAGAUGAGUCAAGGCUGUAAAGGUAAAGCACCUUUACCUUUCCAGCUCAUACCAACAGCUCACCUUAUCCAUUUGAUUCUUCCUUUGCCUCCAAGACUCCCCAACGGACACUAUAGGAAAGGAUAGAAUCAGAGUGAACCGCCCUCACAUUGCACAUCUUGAUUUGGGCUGAACCGGAUGACUUGGGCGUGUGGAGUGGCCGUACGGUUGAUGGUACGGACCUCCUGUCCGUACCACUAUCCCUAACUAUACACAAUGCCUUAUCUCCUUCUUGACUGUCCCCAAACACCUUCAUGAUUCACCCUAGACCGUACAAGGCCGUACCAUGGCCGUACCACUCGCCCUAGCUUUGCACCU
This 4606-nucleotide long non-coding RNA is filed under the name Brassica napus (rape). Its description in RNAcentral is "long non-coding RNA (BNAP_LNC001777)". The record is from RNAcentral. Lineage: Eukaryota; Viridiplantae; Streptophyta; Magnoliopsida; Brassicales; Brassicaceae.